Molecule: transfer RNA, 75 nt
Filed under: Candidatus Roizmanbacteria bacterium RIFCSPLOWO2_01_FULL_44_13
Lineage: Bacteria; Candidatus Roizmaniibacteriota
Description: tRNA-Pro
Rfam family: tRNA
About the family: Transfer RNA (tRNA) molecules are approximately 80 nucleotides in length. Their secondary structure includes four short double-helical elements and three loops (D, anti-codon, and T loops).
Source: RNAcentral
CGGAGCGUAGUUCAACGGUAGAAUGCUUGGUUCGGGACCAAGAGGUAGUGGGUUCAACUCCCGCCGCUCCGACUA